GGGGAGGAUGGAGUGGUGUAUCAGGGGGUAUAAGGCAUAUCAGGCACAGUGGCAUAUGUGGGGGUAGACGUGGCGUGUCUGGGAGGCAGCGUGGCAAGCCUGGGCUCAAAUGUGCAUAAAUUGGGGGGGCUGGUUGGGAAAUAAAGACAAGAAAUGCAUUUCA
Spea bombifrons (plains spadefoot toad) is the source of this 163-nucleotide long non-coding RNA. RefSeq lists it as uncharacterized. The transcript has 2 exons. The record is from RefSeq and is a predicted model, not a curated record. NCBI's taxonomy places the organism in Eukaryota, Metazoa, Chordata, Amphibia, Anura, Pelobatidae.